Molecule: long non-coding RNA, 1226 nt
Organism: Orcinus orca (killer whale)
Lineage: Eukaryota; Metazoa; Chordata; Mammalia; Artiodactyla; Delphinidae
Exons: 7
Source: RefSeq, a predicted model, not a curated record
CUUGGAUAUAAAGACAAAGUGGAUGGAGUGUGUCCAUGCCUUGCAACAGGAUGCCUUACACAGAUGAGUAAAUCACAGUACACAAUAAAUUUUAUGGCUGAAGAAAUUAUUUCUGCGGAAAUCUCCCUCUAACAGGACCCAGCCUCUACAUAGGACAUGUCUGGGAAAGAGCAAGAGAACUGGCCAAAACUCAAGAUGAGUCAUAGACCUUCUGCUGCAACAUGGUAAAUGCCAUAUUUACUCACAUUUCAUUGGCCAAAGCAUGUCACAUGACCAAAACCAAAUCAAAUGAGGAAAGAGAGGGAGAGAGACCCAAAAGGGAGAAGAGUUGGCUCUCAGUAGCUUUCCAUUCGGCUGGAAAAGGAACAGCUCUGGUUGCUACAACUAUGGUUGCUCCUUCUUGCUAUUUAUGGAUGGUGUGGCUGUCACUGCAGUCCACUAGUGCCCCCUAUUGUCCCCUUCAGGAAACUCACAGGGCAGCAUGAACGGCUAAACCUGGGCAUUCCUAUCACUUGUGCUAACAUUAGCCUGAUGAGCAAGAGAGCUGGAACCUGGGACCCCGAGCCCGGAGACCCUUCUGCUUCCGCUGGAGGCUCAGAGAACUCUACAUCCUCCAACCACAUCACCUGCUGGAGGUAGUCCCAACUUUGUCUUUUUCAAAAUGACAAAAGGAUUUUGUGGACAGUGAAACUAUUCUGUAUGAUACUACAAUAGCAGCUACAUGCCAUGCUACAUUUGUCAAAACUCAUGGAAUGUGCACCACACCAAGAGUGAACCCUAAUGGAUACUACAGACUAUGAUGUAAUGAUGUAUCAAGUUUCCUCAUUUGAAGCAUGUGACAAUUAACUGCCUGACCAAUCUCACAGAGGUUAAAUAAGAACACGAGAAGCUUGGAGAAGUAUAAACAUAACUUUGAAGUUAACGGAAGGUACAUUAUUACCUACCUGGCUUACAUUUACUUAUCUUAUUUUUACCUGAAAAGAUUGGCAGCAGGUAAAAUUUGGUUUGCUCUGAAUCAAGUUGGGUUGGCUUUUCUGACCUGUGGGGUCAGGGAAGACUUUAAUUUCAUAGUGGAAUCUGCAGCUUUUUGUCUGUGCAAGAUCCAUUUAUCAUCCCUUUCUUCUGAGAAACAGCUUUCCCGCACCAUCAGCCCAGUAGUUUGGGCGGUGUGGACCCCUCAAUGCUCCAGAGGUGGACAUGUGAUGCUGGUCUGACCAAUCAGAGCA